GAUGAACGCUGGCGGCGUGCUUAACACAUGCAAGUCGAACGGGGUUAAGGGAAAUUUUCGGAUGGAACUUAACUUAGUGGCGGACGGGUGAGUAACGCGUGGAUAACCUGCCUCACACUGGGGGAUAGCAGCUGGAAACGGCUGGUAAUACCGCAUAAGACCACAGCGCCGCAUGGUGCAGGGGUAAAAGAUUUAUCGGUGUGAGAUGGAUCCGCGUCUGAUUAGCUAGUUGGUGAGGUAACGGCUCACCAAGGCGACGAUCAGUAGCCGGUCUGAGAGGAUGAACGGCCACAUUGGGACUGAGAUACGGCCCAG
RNAcentral lists this ribosomal RNA (315 nucleotides) under uncultured bacterium. RNAcentral's name for it is "bacterial SSU rRNA". It matches the Rfam family "Bacterial small subunit ribosomal RNA", at positions 28 to 334 of the family's 1533-position model. The record is from RNAcentral.